GCCAGCGAGGAUGGCUGCGAGCGCGUUUGAGCGCUCGCGCGCGGCGACCCGUCUAUCUCCUUCUUUUUUUCUUUUUUAAAUGUAACCUGGUUUAUUGGGCUCUCGGCGUAUUCUUGCGUUCCUUCUGCACUGGGACAAGACACCACUGCACUAUUGGACUACGGCAAGCUGGUGCCGUCCGGUGGAGCUUCAUACAGGAACUACUGCCUUACCUGCUGGUGUCACAACGUUGGAUGAACGCACAAAAAGCGCGGAACGAGCUUUUAUAUAGAGCAAAAUAAAUAUUUCCUCAUUGCACAAAA
This is a long non-coding RNA of Dermacentor silvarum, 302 nucleotides long. RefSeq lists it as uncharacterized. Lineage: Eukaryota; Metazoa; Arthropoda; Arachnida; Ixodida; Ixodidae. The record is from RefSeq and is a predicted model, not a curated record. The transcript has 2 exons.